CGUUAGCGGCGGACGGGUGAGUAACACGUGGAUAACCUACCUAUAAGACUGGGAUAACUUCGGGAAACCGGAGCUAAUACCGGAUAAUAUAUUGAACCGCAUGGUUCAAUAGUGAAAGACGGUUUUGCUGUCACUUAUAGAUGGAUCCGCGCCGCAUUAGCUAGUUGGUAAGGUAACGGCUUACCAAGGCAACGAUGCGUAGCCGACCUGAGAGGGUGAUCGGCCACACUGGAACUGGGACACGGUCCAGACUCCUACGGGAGGAGCAGGA
This 271-nucleotide ribosomal RNA is filed under the name uncultured Staphylococcus sp. RNAcentral describes it as "partial 16S ribosomal RNA". It matches the Rfam family "Bacterial small subunit ribosomal RNA", at positions 90 to 348 of the family's 1533-position model. The record is from RNAcentral. Lineage: Bacteria; Bacillati; Bacillota; Bacilli; Caryophanales; Staphylococcaceae.